RNAcentral lists this ribosomal RNA (484 nucleotides) under uncultured bacterium. Its description in RNAcentral is "partial 16S ribosomal RNA". It matches the Rfam family "Bacterial small subunit ribosomal RNA", at positions 29 to 507 of the family's 1533-position model. The record is from RNAcentral.
AUUGAACGCUGGCGGCAUGCUUUACACAUGCAAGUCGAACGGCAGCGCGGGCUUCGGCCUGGCGGCGAGUGGCGAACGGGUGAGUAAUGCAUCGGAACGUGCCCAGUAGUGGGGGAUAGCCCGGCGAAAGCCGGAUUAAUACCGCAUACGACCUGAGGGUGAAAGCGGGGGACCGAAAGGCCUCGCGCUAUUGGAGCGGCCGAUGUCGGAUUAGCUAGUUGGUGGGGUAAAGGCUUACCAAGGCGACGAUCCGUAGCUGGUCUGAGAGGACGACCAGCCACACUGGGACUGAGACACGGCCCCGACCCCCUCGGGAGGGAGCAGGGGGGAAUUUUGGAAAAUUGGGGCAAACCUGAUCCCGCCAUGGCGGCGGGGGGAAAAAGGCCCUCGGGUUUGAAACCCGUUUUGGUUGGGAAGAAAAUCCUUUGGCUAAUACCCCGGGGGGAUGACGGUACCGGAAGAAUAAGCACCGGCUAACUACGUG